GUUAGGAAUAUUGGACAAUGGGCGCAAGCCUGAUCCAGCCAUGCCGCGUGAGUGAUGAAGGCCUUCGGGUUGUAAAGCUCUUUAGUCCACGAAUAUAAUGACUGUAGUGGAAGAAUAAGCCCCGGCUAACUUCGUGCCAGCAGCCGCGGUAAUACGAAGGGGGCGAGCGUUAUUCGGAAUCACUGGGCGUAAAGCGUGCGUAGGCUGUUUUGUAAGUCAGAAGUGAAAGCCCAGGGCUUAACCCUGGAAUUGCUUUUGAAACUACAAGACUCGAAUUCGAGAGAGGAUAGCGGAAUUGUCAGUGUAGCAGUGAAAUGCGUAGAUAUUGACAGGAACACCAGUGGCGCAAGCGGCUAUCUGGACCGAUAUUGACGCUGAGGCACGAAAGCGUGGGGAGCAAACAGGAUUAGAUACCCGGGUAGUCC
This 425-nucleotide ribosomal RNA is filed under the name uncultured bacterium. Its description in RNAcentral is "partial 16S ribosomal RNA". It matches the Rfam family "Bacterial small subunit ribosomal RNA", at positions 354 to 796 of the family's 1533-position model. The record is from RNAcentral.